UCAUGGGAUGUGCUAAUGGCCUGGGCCUA
This 29-nucleotide non-coding RNA is filed under the name Mus musculus (house mouse). Lineage: Eukaryota; Metazoa; Chordata; Mammalia; Rodentia; Muridae. The record is from RNAcentral.